Molecule: ribosomal RNA, 616 nt
Filed under: Salmonella enterica subsp. enterica serovar Typhimurium
Lineage: Bacteria; Pseudomonadati; Pseudomonadota; Gammaproteobacteria; Enterobacterales; Enterobacteriaceae
Description: bacterial SSU rRNA
Rfam family: Bacterial small subunit ribosomal RNA
Source: RNAcentral
GGGUGAGUAAUGUCUGGGAAACUGCCUGAUGGAGGGGGAUAACUACUGGAAACGGUGGCUAAUACCGCAUAACGUCGAAGACCAAAGAGGGGGACCUUCGGGCCUCUUGCCAUCAGAUGUGCCCAGAUGGGAUUAGCUAGUUGGUGAGGUAACGGCUCACCAAGGCGACGAUCCCUAGCUGGUCUGAGAGGAUGACCAGCCACUCUGGAACUGAGACACGGUCCAGACUCUCGGGAGGCAGCAGUGGGGAAUAUUCCACAAUGGGCGCAAGCCUGAUGCAGCCAUGGCGCGUGUAUGAAGAAGGCCUUCGGGUUGUAAAGUACUUUCAGCGGGGAGGAAGGUGUUGUGGUUAUUAACCGCAGCAAUUGACGAUACCCGCAGAAGACACCGGCUAACUCCGACCCACCAGCCGCGGUAAUACGGAGGGUGCAAGCGUUAAUCGGAAUUACUGGGCGUAAAGCGCACGCAGGCGGUCUGUCAAGUCGGAUGUGAUAUCCCCGGGCUCAACCUGGGAACUGCAUACGAAACUGGCAGGCUUAUCUUGUAGAGGGGGGUAGAAUUCCAGGUGUAGCGGUGAAAUGCGUAGACAUCUGGAGGAAUACCGGUGGCGAAGGCG